UCGGGCGUGGUGUACGGUGCACAGCGGGUUUGCCUUGUGAACUGGACGUCCAAAGAAAGAUUAGCCCGCAGGCCGGGGUUCGAUUCCCCGCGCCCGAA
Mycena vulgaris is the source of this 98-nucleotide non-coding RNA. The record is from the annotation of a GenBank genome assembly. Lineage: Eukaryota; Fungi; Basidiomycota; Agaricomycetes; Agaricales; Mycenaceae.